Molecule: long non-coding RNA, 699 nt
Filed under: Malus domestica (apple)
Lineage: Eukaryota; Viridiplantae; Streptophyta; Magnoliopsida; Rosales; Rosaceae
Description: long non-coding RNA (MDOM_LNC001326)
Source: RNAcentral
CACUAAAUUUCUUGUAGAAAUGCUUAGAUAUACCCGAAUCAAUUGUUUGAUCUUCUUAUCACAUUACAUGGAAGCUCGAGCAGAGAAACAGAGCUCUACUCACCCAAAUUUCACACAAAUGAGCGGAAAGUAAUACCGAAAAUCCAAUAGCACAUUACAAGUCCAAACUGAUGCAAAAUUGACAAACAAAACAAGACCAAAAUCUGAGUUUGCUCCUCCAUUAGCCUCGGGAAACACUAAAUCAGACAAUGUCAAACACAAAAUUAGAAAUUCAAUCGCCAAAAUCAACCCAUAAAUCACAAUUAACACACACAUACUAACUUCAAUUCGCAACCAAUGCAAAAACUUUCAGCUUUUCCCUCGAAUUUUCCUCCAUUUUCUCAGCAACCAAACACAAUACAACACGCAAAGCAAUGAAAACAAACAGCAAUCGAAACUCACCUCGAGGCCGGUGCGGUAGGAGGAGGAGCAAGACAAGGAAGGUUUGGACGAUGCAUCUUCGUCGCCGUAGUCUGCCACCGGAAUGAGAAGUUCACGAUCGCGCUUCUCUGUCUCUGCUAGCCGGAUUAUUACGUGCAUAUAAGGACUUGAAGGAAAUGUUGUGUUUUGUUGUACCGCUAAUUAAACAGGGGGCGGAUUAAUUACUGCUUAAUCUCUCAUUGUUUCUCAAUUUUUUGGCAAUGAAAUCUUUAGAUAAGA